UCUGUAAGCCUGCGAAGGUGUGCUGUGAGGCAUGCUGGAGGUAUCAGAAGUGCGAAUGCUGACAUAAGUAACGAUAAAGCGGGUGAAAAGCCCGCUCGCCGGAAGACCAAGGGUUCCUGUCCAACGUUAAUCGGGGCAGGGUGAGUCGACCCCUAAGGCGAGGCCGAAAGGCGUAGUCGAUGGGAAACAGGUUAAUAUUCCUGUACUUGGUGUUACUGCGAAGGGGGGACGGAGAAGGCUAUGUUGGCCGGGCGACGGUUGUCCCGGUUUAAGCGUGUAGGCUGGUUUUCCAGGCAAAUCCGGAAAAUCAAGGCUGAGGCGUGAUGACGAGGCACUACGGUGCUGAAGCAACAAAUGCCCUGCUUCCAGGAAAAGCCUCUAAGCAUCAGGUAACAUCAAAUCGUACCCCAAACCGACACAGGUGGUCAGGUAGAGAAUACCAAGGCGCUUGAGAGAACUCGGGUGAAGGAACUAGGCAAAAUGGUGCCGUAACUUCGGGAGAAGGCACGCUGAUAUGUAGGUGAAGUCCCUCGCGGAUGGAGCUGAAAUCAGUCGAAGAUACCAGCUGGCUGCAACUGUUUAUUAAAAACACAGCACUGUGCAAACACGAAAGUGGACGUAUACGGUGUGACGCCUGCCCGGUGCCGGAAGGUUAAUUGAUGGGGUUAGCCGCAAGGCGAAGCUCUUGAUCGAAGCCCCGGUAAACGGCGGCCGUAACUAUAACGGUCCUAAGGUAGCGAAAUUCCUUGUCGGGUAAGUUCCGACCUGCACGAAUGGCGUAAUGAUGGCCAGGCUGUCUCCACCCGAGACUCAGUGAAAUUGAACUCGCUGUGAAGAUGCAGUGUACCCGCGGCAAGACGGAAAGACCCCGUGAACCUUUACUAUAGCUUGACACUGAACAUUGAGCCUUGAUGUGUAGGAUAGGUGGGAGGCUUUGAAGUGUGGACGCCAGUCUGCAUGGAGCCGACCUUGAAAUACCACCCUUUAAUGUUUGAUGUUCUAACGUUGACCCGUAAUCCGGGUUGCGGACAGUGUCUGGUGGGUAGUUUGACUGGGGCGGUCUCCUCCUAAAGAGUAACGGAGGAGCACGAAGGUUGGCUAAUCCUGGUCGGACAUCAGGAGGUUAGUGCAAUGGCAUAAGCCAGCUUGACUGCGAGCGUGACGGCGCGAGCAGGUGCGAAAGCAGGUCAUAGUGAUCCGGUGGUUCUGAAUGGAAGGGCCAUCGCUCAACGGAUAAAAGGUACUCCGGGGAUAACAGGCUGAUACCGCCCAAGAGUUCAUAUCGACGGCGGUGUUUGGCACCUCGAUGUCGGCUCAUCACAUCCUGGGGCUGAAGUAGGUCCCAAGGGUAUGGCUGUUCGCCAUUUAAAGUGGUACGCGAGCUGGGUUUAGAACGUCGUGAGACAGUUCGGUCCCUAUCUGCCGUGGGCGCUGGAGAACUGAGGGGGGCUGCUCCUAGUACGAGAGGACCGGAGUGGACGCAUCACUGGUGUUCGGGUUGUCAUGCCAAUGGCACUGCCCGGUAGCUAAAUGCGGAAGAGAUAAGUGCUGAAGGCAUCUAAGCACGAAACUUGCCCCGAGAUGAGUUCUCCCUGACUCCUUGAGAGUCUUGAAGGAACGUUGAAGACGACGACGUUGAUAGGCCGGGUGUGUAAGCGCAGCGAUGCGUUGAGCUAACCGGUACUAAUGAACCGUGAGGCUUAACCUU
RNAcentral lists this ribosomal RNA (1708 nucleotides) under Escherichia coli MP021561.2. RNAcentral describes it as "bacterial LSU rRNA". It matches the Rfam family "Bacterial large subunit ribosomal RNA", at positions 1240 to 2925 of the family's 2925-position model. The record is from RNAcentral. Lineage: Bacteria; Pseudomonadati; Pseudomonadota; Gammaproteobacteria; Enterobacterales; Enterobacteriaceae.